Molecule: ribosomal RNA, 443 nt
Filed under: uncultured bacterium
Lineage: Bacteria
Description: partial 16S ribosomal RNA
Rfam family: Bacterial small subunit ribosomal RNA
Source: RNAcentral
CCUACGGGGGGCAGCAGUGAGGAAUAUUGGUCAAUGGGCGCGAGCCUGAACCAGCCAAGUAGCGUGAAGGAUGACUGCCCUACGGGUUGUAAACUUCUUUUGUCAGGGAAGAGUAGAAGACGGUACCUGACGAAUAAGCCACGGCUAACUACGUGCCAGCAGCCGCGGUAAUACGUAGGUGGCAAGCGUUGUCCGGAUUUACUGGGUGUAAAGGGCGUGUAGCCGGGUUGACAAGUCAGAUGUGAAAUCCUGCGGCUUAACCGCAGAACUGCAUUUGAAACUGUUGAUCUUGAGUACUGGAGAGGCAGACGGAAUUCCUAGUGUAGCGGUGAAAUGCUUAGAUAUCACGAAGAACUCCGAUUGCGAAGGCAGCUUACUAAACUGCCACUGACAUUGAUGCUCGAAAGUGUGGGUAUCAAACAGGAUUAGAUACCCCUGUAGUC